GACGAACGCUGGCGGCGUGCCUAAUACAUGCAAGUAGAACGCUGAAGGAGGAGCUUGCUUCUCUGGAUGAGUUGCGAACGGGUGAGUAACGCGUAGGUAACCUGCCUGGUAGCGGGGGAUAACUAUUGGAAACGAUAGCUAAUACCGCAUAAGAGUAGAUGUUGCAUGACAUUUGCUUAAAAGGUGCAAUUGCAUCACUACCAGAUGGACCUGCGUUGUAUUAGCUAGUUGGUGGGGUAACGGCUCACCAAGGCGACGAUACAUAGCCGACCUGAGAGGGUGAUCGGCCACACUGGGACUGAGACACGGCCCAGACUCCUACGGGAAGCAGCAGUAGGGAAUCUUCGGCAAUGGACGGAAGUCUGACCGAGCAACGCCGCGUGAGUGAAGAAGGUUUUCGGAUCGUAAAGCUCUGUUGUAAGAGAAGAACGAGUGUGAGAGUGGAAAGUUCACACUGUGACGGUAUCUUACCAGAAAGGGACGGCUAACUACGUGCCAGCAGCCGCGGUAAUACGUAGGUCCCGAGCGUUGUCCGGAUUUAUUGGGCGUAAAGCGAGCGCAGGCGGUUAGAUAAGUCUGAAGUUAAAGGCUGUGGCUUAACCAUAGUACGCUUUGGAAACUAUUUAACUUGAGUGCAAGGGGGGAGAGUGGAAUUCCAUGUGUAGCGGUGAAAUGCGUAGAUAUAUGGAGGAACACCGGUGGCGAAAGCGGCUCUCUGGCUUGUAACUGACGCUGAGGCUCGAAAGCGUGGGGAGCAAACAGG
Molecule: ribosomal RNA, 763 nt
Filed under: uncultured Streptococcus sp.
Lineage: Bacteria; Bacillati; Bacillota; Bacilli; Lactobacillales; Streptococcaceae
Description: bacterial SSU rRNA
Rfam family: Bacterial small subunit ribosomal RNA
Source: RNAcentral